RNAcentral lists this ribosomal RNA (392 nucleotides) under uncultured bacterium. RNAcentral describes it as "bacterial SSU rRNA". It matches the Rfam family "Bacterial small subunit ribosomal RNA", at positions 505 to 898 of the family's 1533-position model. The record is from RNAcentral.
GUGUCAGCCGCCGCGGUAAUACGUAGGGGGCUAGCGUUAUCCGGAAUUACUGGGCGUAAAGGGUGCGUAGGCGGUCUUUCAAGCCAGAAGUGAAAGGCUACGGCUCAACCGUAGUAAGCUUUUGGAACUGUAAGACUUGAGUGCAGGAGGGGAGAGUGGAAUUCCUAGUGUAGCGGUGAAAUGCGUAGAUAUUAGGAGGAACACCAGUAGCGAAGGCGGCUCUCUGGACUGUAACUGACGCUGAGGCACGAAAGCGUGGGGAGCAAACAGGAUUAGAUACCCUGGUAGUCCACGCCGUAAACGAUGAGUACUAGGUGUCGGGGGUUACCCCCCUCGGUGCCGCAGCUAACGCAUUAAGUACUCCGCCUGGGAAGUACGCUCGCAAGAGUGAA